RNAcentral lists this transfer RNA (72 nucleotides) under Ovis aries (sheep). It matches the Rfam family "tRNA". From Rfam's summary of the family: Transfer RNA (tRNA) molecules are approximately 80 nucleotides in length. Their secondary structure includes four short double-helical elements and three loops (D, anti-codon, and T loops). Lineage: Eukaryota; Metazoa; Chordata; Mammalia; Artiodactyla; Bovidae. The record is from Rfam by way of RNAcentral.
UCCCUGGUAGCUCAGAUGGUAAAGCGUCUGCCUGCAAUGCGGGAGACCCGGAUACGAUCCCUGGUUUGGGAA